CCAAUAGCGUAUAUUAAAGUUGUUGCAGUUAAAAAGCUCGUAGUUGAAUUUCGGGGUUAGUAGGUUGGUCAUGCCUCUGGUAUGUACUGGUCUCACUGAUUCCUCCUUCCUGAUGAACCGUAAUGCCAUUAAUUUGGUGUUGCGGGGAAUUUGGACUGUUACUUUGAAAAAAUUAGAGUGUUUAAAGCAAGCUAACGCUUGAAUACAUUAGCAUGGAACAAUGACAUAGGACGUUCGAUCCUAUUUUGUUGGUUUCUAGGAUUGACGUAAUGAUUAAUAGGGAUAGUUGGGGGCAUUAGUAUUCAAUUGUCAGAGGUGAAAUUCUUGGAUUUAUUGAAGACUAACUACUGCGAAAGCAUUUGCCAAGGAUGUUUUCAUUAAUCAAGAACGAAAGUUAGGGGAUCGAAGACGAUCAGAUACCGUCGUAGUCUUAACCAUAAACUAUGCCGACUAGGGAUCGGAUGAUGUUAAUUUUUUAAUGACUCAUUCGGCGCCUUACG
This 500-nucleotide ribosomal RNA is filed under the name uncultured Glomeromycotina. Its description in RNAcentral is "partial small subunit ribosomal RNA". It matches the Rfam family "Eukaryotic small subunit ribosomal RNA", at positions 591 to 1092 of the family's 1831-position model. Lineage: Eukaryota; Fungi; Glomeromycota. The record is from RNAcentral.